AUUCCAGCUCCAAUAGCGUAUAUUAAAGUUGUUGCGGUUAAAAAGCUCGUAGUUGGAGUUCUGCCAGGUGCCACCUGUCCGCCCCAGUGGUGAGUACGUGGUGCGCAUUUGGCCCUUUCAAGGGGAGCGUAUUUGCACUUAAUUGUGUGGUGCGGGAUCCUUGACUUUUACUUUGAGGAAAUAAGAGUGUUCCAAGCAGGCUCUCGUCGUGCAUAGCUCAGCAUGGAAUAAUAGCAUUGGACCUCGAUUCUAAGCUGUUGGUUGCCAGAAGCGAGGUAAUGAUGAAGAGGGAUAGUUGGGGGUGCUAGUAUUGAGCGGCCAGAGGUGAAAUUCUUGGAUUCGCUCAAGACUAACUUAUGCGAAGGCAUUCACCAAGGAUGUCUUCAUCA
RNAcentral lists this ribosomal RNA (389 nucleotides) under Syndiniales sp. Its description in RNAcentral is "partial small subunit ribosomal RNA". It matches the Rfam family "Eukaryotic small subunit ribosomal RNA", at positions 582 to 975 of the family's 1831-position model. Lineage: Eukaryota; Dinophyceae; Syndiniales. The record is from RNAcentral.